AGUGAACGCUGGCGGCAGGCCUAACACAUGCAAGUCGAACGGCAGCACAGUAAGAGCUUGCUCUUACGGGUGGCGAGUGGCGGACGGGUGAGGAAUACAUCGGAAUCUACUUUUUCGUGGGGGAUAACGUAGGGAAACUUACUCUAAUACCGCAUACGACCUACGGGUGAAAGCAGGGGAUCUUCGGACCUUGCGCGAUUGAAUGAGCCGAUGUCGGAUUAGCUAGUUGGCGGGGUAAAGGCCCACCAAGGCGACGAUCCGUAGCUGGUCUGAGAGGAUGGUCAGCCACACUGGAACUGAGACACGGUCCAGACUCCUACGGGAGGCAGCAGUGGGGAAUAUUGGACAAUGGGCGCGAGCCUGAUCCAGCCAUACCGCGUGGGUGAAGAAGGCCUUCGGGUUGUAAAGCCCUUUUGUUGGUAAAGAAAAGCAGCAGGUUAAUACCCCGCUGUUCUGACGGUACCCAAAGAAUAAGCACCGGCUAACUUCGUG
RNAcentral lists this ribosomal RNA (492 nucleotides) under uncultured bacterium. Its description in RNAcentral is "partial 16S ribosomal RNA". It matches the Rfam family "Bacterial small subunit ribosomal RNA", at positions 29 to 507 of the family's 1533-position model. The record is from RNAcentral.